CCUACGGGCGGCAGCAGUGAGGAAUAUUGGUCAAUGGACGAAAGGCUGAACCAGCCAAGUCGCGUGAAGGAUGAAGGCGCUAAGGAUUGUAAACUUCUUUUGUCAGGGGAUAAAAUCAUGCACGUGUGCCUUUCUGAAGGUACCUUAAGAAUAAGCAUCGGCUAACUCCGUGCCAGCAGCCGCGGUAAUACGGGGGAUGCGAGCGUUAUCCGGAUUUAUUGGGUUUAAAGGGUGCGUAGGCGGGGUGUUAAGUCAGCGGUAAAAGUCGGGGGCUCAACCCCAGCGUGCAGUUGAAACUGGCAGUCUUGAGAUGUCGAGAGGUGUGCGGAAUGCGUGGUGUAGCGGUGAAAUGCUUAGAUAUCGCGCAGAACUCCGAUUGCGAAGGCAGUAUACCGGCGGCGAUCUGACGCUGAGGCACGAAAGCGUGGGUAUCAAACAGGAUUAGAUACCCUUGUAGUC
RNAcentral lists this ribosomal RNA (459 nucleotides) under uncultured bacterium. RNAcentral describes it as "partial 16S ribosomal RNA". It matches the Rfam family "Bacterial small subunit ribosomal RNA", at positions 338 to 795 of the family's 1533-position model. The record is from RNAcentral.